This 467-nucleotide ribosomal RNA is filed under the name uncultured bacterium. RNAcentral's name for it is "partial 16S ribosomal RNA". It matches the Rfam family "Bacterial small subunit ribosomal RNA", at positions 28 to 507 of the family's 1533-position model. The record is from RNAcentral.
GACGAACGCUGGCGGCGUGCUUAACACAUGCAAGUCGAACGGAAAGGCCCUGCUUUUGUGGGGUGCUCGAGUGGCGAACGGGUGAGUAACACGUGAGUAACCUGCCCUUGACUUUGGGAUAACUUCAGGAAACUGGGGCUAUACCGGAUAGGAGCUCCUGCUGCCUGGGGGGGGUUGGGAAGGUUCGGCGGUUGGGGAUGGACUCGCGGCUUAUCAGCUUGUUGGUGGGGUAGUGGCUUACCAAGGCUUUGACGGGUAGCCGGCCUGAGAGGUUGACCGGCCACAUUGGGACUGAGAUACGGCCCAGACUCCUACGGGAGGCAGCAGUGGGGAAUAUUGCACAAUGGGCGGAAGCCUGAUGCAGCAACGCCGCGUGCGGGAUGACGGCCUUCGGGUUGUAAACCGCUUUCGCCUGUGACGAAGCGUGAGUGACGGUAAUGGGUAAAGAAGCACCGGCUAACUACGUG